UAGGGAAUAUUGGACAAUGGGCGAAAGCCUGAUCCAGCAACGCCGCGUGCACGAUGACGGCCUUCGGGUUGUAAAGUGCUUUUAAGGGAGAUGAGAAAGGACAGUAUCUCUUGAAUAAGCCUCGGCGAACUACGUGCCAGCAGCCGCAGUAAACGUAGGAGGCAAGCGUUAUCCGGAUUUAUUGGGCGUAAAGCGCGUGCAGGCCGUUUGGUAAGUUGGGUGUAAAAGCUCCUGGCUUAACUGGGAGAGGUCGUUCAAAACUACCAGACUAGAGAUUGGGAGAGGGAAGUGGAAUUCCGGGUGUAGUGGUGAAAUGCGUAGAUAUCCGGAGGAACACCAGUGGCGAAAGCGGCUUCCUAGACCAUUUCUGACGCUGAGACGCGAAAGCUAGGGGAGCGAACGG
RNAcentral lists this ribosomal RNA (403 nucleotides) under uncultured bacterium. RNAcentral's name for it is "bacterial SSU rRNA". It matches the Rfam family "Bacterial small subunit ribosomal RNA", at positions 355 to 775 of the family's 1533-position model. The record is from RNAcentral.